Molecule: long non-coding RNA, 342 nt
Organism: Calypte anna (Anna's hummingbird)
Lineage: Eukaryota; Metazoa; Chordata; Aves; Apodiformes; Trochilidae
Exons: 3
Source: RefSeq, a predicted model, not a curated record
GCCUCCCGGUACCUCGGGGGCCGCCUGCACCCGGCUGGGGGCCGCCCGUCCUUACUCCUACUCGAAGUUCUGCCGAUACCUCCUCAGAUCCUGUAACAAAAUACUCUUCUGCUGGAUCAACAGCAAUUGCUUUGACUGGAGAAUCAUGACUCUGAAGUAAUUGUUGCUGCUGUCUUUGGCGAAGAUCAAUUAUACAGAUGAUAAAGAUGAUGUAACUGUACUACCAUGCUUGCAACCAAGCUCACCUCCUCCACUUUUUAACGCUUAAAUGGCUAAACAGAAGAAGAAAAGAUGACUUCCUGGUUGUCUUUGACAGAGACGGAAAAACAGUACUAUGGACAA